CCUACGGGGGGCAGCAGUAGGGAAUCUUUCACAAUGGGCGAAAGCCUGAUGGAGCAACGCCGCGUGCAGGAUGAAGGCCUUCGGGUCGUAAACCUCUUUUGCCGGGGAGCAGAGGUCCGGACGUGUCCGGGCCGGGAGAGUACCCGGAGAAAAAGCAUCGGCUAACUCCGUGCCAGCAGCCGCGGUAAUACGGAGGAUGCGAGCGUUAUCCGGAUUUAUUGGGUUUAAAGGGUGCGUAGGCGGGCAUUUAAGCCGGCGGUCAAAUGUCGGGGCUCAACCCCGGCCUGCCGUCGGAACUGGGUGCCUUGAGUGGGCGAGAAGUAUGCGGAAUGCGUGGUGUAGCGGUGAAAUGCAUAGAUAUCACGCAGAACCCCGAUUGCGAAGGCAGCAUACCGGCGCCCUACUGACGCUGAGGCACGAAAGUGCGGGUAUCGAACAGGAUUAGAUACCCUUGUAGUC
Molecule: ribosomal RNA, 459 nt
Filed under: uncultured bacterium
Lineage: Bacteria
Description: partial 16S ribosomal RNA
Rfam family: Bacterial small subunit ribosomal RNA
Source: RNAcentral